Molecule: long non-coding RNA, 451 nt
Organism: Felis catus (domestic cat)
Lineage: Eukaryota; Metazoa; Chordata; Mammalia; Carnivora; Felidae
Exons: 2
Source: RefSeq, a predicted model, not a curated record
CUUGGUCUUUCCCCCUACCCCCUCCCUGUCCUGUCCUUUCCUAAGUCAAAUAAGGAGACUGUGCUAGAGCCUUCUAAGGAAGCAGCCGAGGGACCUGGAGAGGAAGGAACGAAGGAAGGGAAGGAGAAGGAAUCUCCAUCCACGGCCCCCACCUGCUCCCUGGUCCCUGCUGUGCCCCUAGCUGAGCUCAGUCCCUCUCCCCCAUCGCUAAGCCCCACUGGAGCGGUCCCUCCGUCGCUGCCAUGGAUGACGUCUCUCUUAGGAGAGGCAGCCAGUCCCCAGAAGGGGCAUCUGUGUGGCUGGAACCUUAGCCCGCCUCCCAGAGGCGUCCCUGGUGACCUCCCUCCCCUCCAUAAACACACACCUGUGGCCCAGGGGUAGCAGAAAUGUUCCCAGCCCCCCAGGUGUGACAUGGGGGCAGCACAGAAAGAAUAAAGCAUCUCAGCUUUGA